AAGAGUCAUACGUGCGACUGAGUCCGCUCAGUCACCGUAACACUCCACCCUUUGUUUACAUUACCUUUGUUGCUUUGGCAGGCCCGCCUUUGGGCCACCGGCUUAGCUGGUCAGUGUCUGCCAGAGAACCUAAAACUCAUGUUAAUAAUAUUGUCUGAGUACUAUAUAAUAGUUA
This 175-nucleotide unclassified non-coding RNA is filed under the name uncultured Alatospora. Its description in RNAcentral is "sequence contains ITS1". The record is from RNAcentral. Lineage: Eukaryota; Fungi; Ascomycota.